AGAUAAGAAAGAUAAGUCUUCCUCUACUGAUUUAAAAAGUAACUCUAGAACAAUUUUUUUCGAUAAAAAACACAUUUUUAUCAAGUUUUUCAGGUGUUUUGGAGUUGGACACACCACUUCGUAAUGCCCAAUAAGAAAAUCAUGUUGUUCCAAGAUGAUGUUGUGAUUGAGAGUGAUAAUUAAGAUGUUAAUAGUGAUCAUCUUAAUAGCGCACCACCACCAGAGGUUUUUAUGGAGCAUUUAAU
Molecule: long non-coding RNA, 245 nt
Filed under: Carica papaya (papaya)
Lineage: Eukaryota; Viridiplantae; Streptophyta; Magnoliopsida; Brassicales; Caricaceae
Description: long non-coding RNA (CPAP_LNC013170)
Source: RNAcentral